This is a long non-coding RNA of Antechinus flavipes (yellow-footed antechinus), 841 nucleotides long. RefSeq lists it as uncharacterized. The record is from RefSeq and is a predicted model, not a curated record. The transcript is spliced from 3 exons. Lineage: Eukaryota; Metazoa; Chordata; Mammalia; Dasyuromorphia; Dasyuridae.
CAGCUUUCACAGCUCACUUCAUUCAUAGCUAUACGACUUAAGUCUCUUACUUAGCAUCCUCUGGUACCUCUGUAAGAUAAUAAGCUGUAGAGAAGUUACUGAUUUGUAAGAGAGUAAGAAUGGCCAGCUAUAUGGUGCAGUUGUAAUGCUGGAGAAACUGGGGCAAGAUAGAGAUUAGAGAAUAUUUAAUAAUUAAUUUGAAAGGGGGAGAUUUACUGGGACCAGAUGGAUCCAAGGUUUGGUCCCCAGGACUGAAUGAGACUAUCAUCUCCAUGAAUCCAGUGAACAAUAGUCAUUGAAGUUCAGUGGAAUAUAUAAAAUGUUCAUUAAGGACUAGCACCUCUGGUGUCCGAGGACUUCUCAUCCACCUUUGGUAAUCACCUGUCACUCAAAUACCUCAAUGAAUGUCCAAAGCAGGAUUAUGCCUUGUCAAGGAACUUCUGUUCUUGGGACAGCUGCCUGCCCGGUCUCCUGCCUGCUGUGAAGAUAUUCUCUUCUCAGCAAUAACCUUUGUUCUUUCUCUGCCAGGACCUUGUCACUAAAGAAGUCUGACUUCUCAGUGCCAAUAAAACUUCCUUUUUUGCCACUAAUUUUUCGGGUUUGUGAAUUCUUUCACAUUCAAUCUGUGGCGACCAGAAGGGGAUUCUCACACCAUAACUCUCUGCACUGCCACUAACCGCAUCAACCUUACAUCACCCCUAAAACUGAAUGCACUCUGAUUCAGUGACACUGGGGUCCUUGCCUUGACACAAGAAAGGACACUUCAAUUCUUGGUUCUGGUCAUUUUCUCCAGUUGCCUUUCACGCCUGAAAGCCCUUUCUCCCCCCACCCCCAACUUCCU